RNAcentral lists this ribosomal RNA (745 nucleotides) under uncultured bacterium. RNAcentral describes it as "bacterial SSU rRNA". It matches the Rfam family "Bacterial small subunit ribosomal RNA", at positions 33 to 760 of the family's 1533-position model. The record is from RNAcentral.
ACGCUGGCGGCGUGCCUAAUACAUGCAAGUCGAGCGAACGGACGAGAAGCUUGCUUCUCUGAUGUUAGCGGCGGACGGGUGAGUAACACGUGGAUAACCUACCUAUAAGACUGGGAUAACUUCGGGAAACCGGAGCUAAUACCGGAUAAUAUUUUGAACCGCAUGGUUCAAAAGUGAAAGACGGUCUUGCUGUCACUUAUAGAUGGGUCCGCGCUGCAUUAGCUAGUUGGUAAGGUAACGGCUUACCAAGGCAACGAUGCAUAGCCGACCUGAGAGGGUGAUCGGCCACACUGGAACUGAGACACGGUCCAGACUCCUACGGGAGGCAGCAGUAGGGAAUCUUCCGCAAUGGGCGAGAGCCUGACGGAGCAACGCCGCGUGAGUGAUGAAGGUCUUCGGAUCGUAAAACUCUGUUAUUAGGGAAGAACAUAUGUGUAAGUAACUGUGCACAUCUUGACGGUACCUAAUCAGAAAGCCACGGCUAACUACGUGCCAGCAGCCGCGGUAAUACGUAGGUGGCAAGCGUUAUCCGGAAUUAUUGGGCGUAAAGCGCGCGUAGGCGGUUUUUUAAGUCUGAUGUGAAAGCCCACGGCUCAACCGUGGAGGGUCAUUGGAAACUGGAAAACUUGAGUGCAGAAGAGGAAAGUGGAAUUCCAUGUGUAGCGGUGAAAUGCGCAGAGAUAUGGAGGAACACCAGUGGCGAAGGCGACUUUCUGGUCUGUAACUGACGCUGAUGUGCGAAAGC